Molecule: ribosomal RNA, 539 nt
Filed under: uncultured bacterium
Lineage: Bacteria
Description: bacterial SSU rRNA
Rfam family: Bacterial small subunit ribosomal RNA
Source: RNAcentral
AUGCCUAAUACAUGCAAGUCGUGCGAACAGAGAAGGAGCUUGCUCCUUUGACGUUAGCGGCGGACGGGUGAGUAACACGUGGGCAACCUACCUUAUAGUUUGGGAUAACUCCGGGAAACCGGGGCUAAUACCGAAUAAUCUAUUUUACUUCAUGGUGAAAUACUGAAAGACGGUUUCGGCUGUCGCUAUAAGAUGGGCCCGCGGCGCAUUAGCUAGUUGGUGAGGUAACGGCUCACCAAGGCGACGAUGCGUAGCCGACCUGAGAGGGUAGAUCGGCCACACUGGGACUGCGACACGGCCCAGACUCCUACGGGAGGCAGCAGUAGGGAAUCUUCCACAAUGGGCGAAAGCCUGAUGGAGCAACGCCGCGUGAGUGAAGAAGGUUUUCGGAUCGUAAAACUCUGUUGUAAGGGAAGAACAAGUACAGUAGUAACUGGCUGUACCUUGACGGUACCUUAUUAGAAAGCCACGGCUAACUACGUGCCAGCAGCCGCGGUAAUGCAUAGGUGGCAAGCGUUUAUCCCGGGGAAAUUAUUGGG